GUCCCACCGGGAAGAGACCCCGGGGAAGACCUAGGACACGCUGGAGGGACUAUGUCUCCCGGCUGGCCUGGGAACGCCUCGGUGUCCCCCCGGAAGAGCUAGAGGAAGUGUCUGGGGAGAGGGAAGUCUGGGCAUCCCUGCUUAGACUGCUGCCCCCGCGACCCGGCCCCGGAUAAGCGGAAGAAGAUGGAUGGAUGGAUGGAUGGAUAAUUCCAGGUACCGGACAUUUGAAAACAAUUCGACUGGUUGGAGCCCACAGAGACUGAGCUUGGCUUAAAGGACAAGAGGCAGGUGGGCAGAGAUAAGAUGGACACACAAACACACAAACAAACACACACUCACAUACACACAGACUGGUCUACAGCUGCAAGCAGAGUCUACACUGAGGCGCCGCACAUCUACAGAGAGGUCUUGGGUUCCUGUGAGCUGGACUAAUCCUAGUCCUGACGAUUCUGCCAUGAGAUGGAGAAGGCAGCCUCCAACCGAGCAGAUGGGAGCGAAGGAAAGCGCCGGUUCGGGACAACGUUUACAGGGGCGCGGAAAGACCAACUCCACAACAUCAUGCUACGCUGGUUGGGUCCAUACCAGGUAACAUCUCAUCUGCUGUCCAGGUAGCUGAGAGAGGAACCUGCAGAUCGACGACACACUCUACAGGAGGGCUUCGGAGUUCAAAGCCUGCAGCUAUGGAGCCUUUGGCUAAAACUGGUCAUCUUGAUAUUCGCAAAUGAGAACACACAGAUUCUCCUGGCCUGGCUGAUAAAGCAGCUGGAAUGAAGACAACAACAGCUGCAUUGGAGCUAUGAAGGACAACACCUUGGAAUAUACAUCAGAUUUUUAUGUCCUGUUACACCGGUCUACAAAGAAAUGGUUCACAACUGACUAUCUGACAUUUGGAGGAGCAGAACAUUUGGGAUCUAAUUGGAGUCCAGAGAGAGACUGAGUACUUAGUUGACCAUGCGGUGAACAAGUUAAAAGAUUCAACCAGAAAACCUUUGUCUCUCUUUCUGGUCACAUUGGAUGCAAGAUGAGGAGUCAGAUAACGAGGUCGGAGAAGAAACUGAAUCUCUUGUAUAAAUCAUGGUGUACUCUAUUCUUUACAACUUGUUCACAUUCCUUUCCAGCAAUCUACCAUGAAGUAUUUUUACAACUGGUCUACAAUAAUUGAUGUUUACAUUUGUCAUAUUUCUGUUUAGGUAAUGAUCUUAUUCUCAGUGACAUUUAUAGUUAUUUUCACACCAUAAAUGGUGUGAAACGGGGGAUUGUUGAGAUAAAUGUAGUUUAAAUAAUGCUGAUUUAAUAACCAUGUAUUCUUAUGUUUUUGUUUUAUUAAAUUGUAUGCUGCAGCCAGGUUAGGGAAAUAUGAUUGAAUACAAUAACCAUAAAGUUUAGAACUCCUUAAAUUACACUCAACCACACUCACUCAGACUUUACACCUGGCUCUGAUAGAGAGACAGGAUUAAAACCCCACAAUUAACAUACAAAUGAAACUGCCCCCUAUACAGCACAAAGAGACCUUCUGUCUCCAGCCCCCUGAUGUUAUAGUCUAGGUUAGGACAAUAGAAUGUAAAUUACUGUAACCUGGUUAAGAUUUCACACCUGUAUGCAAAGAACCUGUUGAUCUAUGACCGAGAAUUAGAGCAUGUCCGUCUUCAUUGGAUUGGAUUCGUCCAACAUGUCACCAUGUCAACAAAGAACCAAUAAGGAUGGGUUUUACUCACGAGAGUGAAAAGUAACCGCCCCUGUGGCGGGAGUAUUAAAACCAAUGUUCGAUCUUUGUUCGGCGCGAAUAUUUUGUGCAAGCUCGAGGGUUGAGCAAAUAUUUGACCGCUGCAGUGUAUUUCAUGUAUUUUGACUUAUCAAUUCAUAUUAAUAAAU
Molecule: long non-coding RNA, 1875 nt
Organism: Esox lucius (northern pike)
Lineage: Eukaryota; Metazoa; Chordata; Actinopteri; Esociformes; Esocidae
Source: Ensembl